This 1004-nucleotide long non-coding RNA is filed under the name Rosa chinensis. RNAcentral describes it as "sRNA RchiOBHm_Chr6g0295091". Lineage: Eukaryota; Viridiplantae; Streptophyta; Magnoliopsida; Rosales; Rosaceae. The record is from RNAcentral.
GUCGGACCACCAACGCCGCCGUCGGAGCACCGUUUUCGCCCCACCUCCACGGCUGGCCUCCUACAGUCCCCUGUCGCUAUUCCGGAGCCAUAGCCACUAACCCCACUCCAAUCUGGAUUCGCACCCAAGACUAGACUAGAUUCAAACCGCCGCCGCCAGUACAAGAUCCGCCACCGCCAGCACGCGAACCAUGCCGCUUGGAUCCGCCCCUAGAUCUGGAGCCGAUGCGCCACCUCCACCGCAAACUGACCCAGGAAUACAAGUACCACUUCUCGACUCGCCACCAGAGUUGUCGCCGUCCGGCAGCCCGGCGACCCGAGCAGACUACGCUGUUGAUUCGAAUAGCCCACCCAUUAGUCUGAUACCUCCACCCUUCCCAAGCUUUGUGUGCGAAUCUCCAAUCUUCAUUGACAAAAAAACGAAGCCUAGAUUGCCACCACGAACCCACCAAACUCGCCGAACAACGGCGAACCAAUCACUGCCCGCCUGACGAUCACGUCCCUAGGAUGCGUCGCAGGACAGAGGGAGGAGACACGAGAGGACUCAGACGCGGUUAGGGUUUUUCUCAGAGAGACGCAUAUAUCCGCCUAGACUGUUUUUUAGAACACUGGGGGGCUUGGAAAGCCGACCCCUAAAACAAAAAGUACUCUCAAGCACGUACCCAUCUGAUCACGGCACACUGCUCCAGUACCAAAGCAUACGGCAACACCGUUCAACGCGUCGUCGACCUUGAGUUUCACAAAGCCAGUUGCUGGCGCUCUCCUCGGACGCUGACGUGAUCUGGAAAAAGAAGCUCCACCGCCCAGAUUCAUCUCCUCCUUGUCAUCUGCCAGCAGAAUGACCCUUGAAUACUGUGCCCACCACUCGCCAGCUCUAUUAACCAAAGCUUCCCCAGUUAGCACUUGAUUACCAUGAACUCUAUUGUUUCUUUCAUGCCAUAACCUCCAAACUAGAACACGAGACCAUUCCAAUUCUUCAUCCCGUGCCACCGUAGCCACAUGUAG